CCCUUCAGCGAUAACGAGCUGAACCAGCUCCCACCCACGGCAGCCAUGCGAUCGCCGCCUUAGCGAUGCGUGAUCUCCACCAUCAUCCGGCAUUUUUGAAUGGAGCUGCUUCGGCCUUCACUGAUCCCUUCCUCCUCGUGAUCAGCAUGUCAUAGCCGCACCAUGCGAGACCUUAUUGUCGGCCAUCGCGCUAUGAAAGCGCAAGGUGACAGCGCGCCUCGCCGGUGCACGCCAACCUGGUCUUCAGCGCCGAGCACGGCUGAUCGUGGAGAUAGCCGCGGCAGUGUGUUCUUUAAGGACACGAUUUGCAGGAACUUUUCUUUUAACUAUUUUAAUUUUAGAUCAAAUAUAAGUUCAUAACAACAAAUCUGAAAAAGUUUUGAAGAACACCAAAUUUUAUUAGCAC
RNAcentral lists this long non-coding RNA (406 nucleotides) under Manihot esculenta (cassava). RNAcentral's name for it is "long non-coding RNA (MESC_LNC001140)". The record is from RNAcentral. Lineage: Eukaryota; Viridiplantae; Streptophyta; Magnoliopsida; Malpighiales; Euphorbiaceae.